AUUGAACGCUGGCGGCAGGCCUAACACAUGCAAGUCGAGCGAGCGGCGGACGGGUGAGUAAUGUCUGGGGAACUGCCUCAUGUGGGGGGGUAACUCCUGGAAACGGUAGCUAAUACCGCAUACCAUCGGAUGUGCCCAGAUGGGAUUAGCGUGUUGGUGGGGUAACGGCUCACCAAGGCGACGAUCCCUAGCUGGUCUGAGAGGAUGACCAGCCACACUGGAACUGAGACACGGUCCAGACUCCUACGGGAGGCAGCAGUGGGGAAUAUUGCACAAUGGGCGCAAGCCUGAUGCAGCCAUGCCGCGUGUGUGAAGAAGGCCUUCGGGUUGUAAAGCACUUUCAGCGGGGAGGCGUUACCCGCAGAAGAAGCACCGGCUAACUCCGUGCCAGCAGCCGCGGUAAUAC
RNAcentral lists this ribosomal RNA (406 nucleotides) under uncultured bacterium. RNAcentral describes it as "partial 16S ribosomal RNA". It matches the Rfam family "Bacterial small subunit ribosomal RNA", at positions 30 to 526 of the family's 1533-position model. The record is from RNAcentral.